Molecule: non-coding RNA, 311 nt
Rfam family: Archaeal signal recognition particle RNA
Source: Rfam
UUGGGAACUAGCCCGGGUGGCUCGGCGUCACCUGUUAUCCGAAACCGCCGCCAUGCGGAGGGCGAAGUUUGAGGAAGGCUUUAACGAUCUGACUGAGUCUGGUGUAUCCCAACGUUGAUACCUUGUCCUGCGAGGUCGGCGGACAGGAUUCAAUACUCCGGAGGGAGUUGCGACCUGUUGCUGCGGACACCGGUCCAGGCCCGGAAGGGAGCAGACUUACUGUAGACGUUUGGCGCCCGCGGGAGUGCGGGGUGGAGGAGGGGUCUCUAGCAAGGUCAGGCACGUACUGUCGACCGAUAACGCGUUCCCAU